AACGAACGCUGGCGGCAUGCCUAACACAUGCAAGUCGAACGAAGGCUUCGGCCUUAGUGGCGCACGGGUGCGUAACGCGUGGGAAUCUGCCCUUGGGUCUGGGAUAACGGCGGGAAACUGCCGCUAAUACCGGAUGAUAUCGCGAGAUCAAAGAUUUAUCGCCUGAGGAUGAGCCCGCGUAGGAUUAGGUAGUUGGUGUGGUAAAGGCGCACCAAGCCGACGAUCCUUAGCUGGUCUGAGAGGAUGAUCAGCCACACUGGGACUGAGACACGGCCCAGACUCCUACGGGAGGCAGCAGUGGGGAAUAUUGGACAAUGGGCGCAAGCCUGAUCCAGCAAUGCCGCGUGAGUGAUGAAGGCCUUAGGGUUGUAAAGCUCUUUUACCCGGGAAGAUAAUGACUUACCCGGAGAAUA
RNAcentral lists this ribosomal RNA (413 nucleotides) under Sphingomonas sp. oral taxon F71. Its description in RNAcentral is "bacterial SSU rRNA". It matches the Rfam family "Bacterial small subunit ribosomal RNA", at positions 29 to 488 of the family's 1533-position model. The record is from RNAcentral. Lineage: Bacteria; Pseudomonadati; Pseudomonadota; Alphaproteobacteria; Sphingomonadales; Sphingomonadaceae.